UCUAAGGAUGUUCCUAGCCAUUGAUGUUCGCAUUGAUCGUGGAACACUUAGCAAGAUGCGCAAACAAAGCGCAUCAACAUCAGGGCAUUCGCAAGGAUGACCCUUUGAGCCGGGCCGUCCUCGUAUCUCUUCAGUUUCAGUACACGGGCUACCGCCCGUAUGGGUCGGUAGCUCAGGUGGUUAGAGCGCACGCCUGAUAAGCGUGAGGUCGGAGGUUCAAGUCCUCCUCGACCCACCAUGAUAUCUCAAGUGUCCUAAUCGCUCUAAGUUUGCGGACCUUCGGGGCCUUAGCUCAGUUGGUAGAGCGCCUGAUUUGCAUUCAGGAGGUCAGCGGUUCGAUCCCGCUAGGCUCCACCAUGAAAUUAAUUUACCUUAUAUUUAGUUUGGCAGAAUAUAUCUUCAAGCAUUUUUGAAUGUUUGGACGUCUGUUCUGCAGACGAAUUGACAUCGUAUAGAGAGAUACAAAUAUCAACACUGUUUGAUCGCGCCGAGUGUGGCGAUGAUCUCGGUUUGGUUCUAUUUUGUUGUUUAGUAGUCGAGAGGCGAAGGGCAUUAUACAAGAUGGAAGGCGACUGAUUGGAUGCUUCCUCGUCCGGUUUGUUGUAUCCCUGCUGAAACGAACGGAGUUGUCCAAGUCAAGUACACUAACCAGAGUAGCAUCGUUCAUAUCCCGCACGGAUUAUGGACAUUGGUGACUACUCAAUUGUCAGCAUGCCACAAACAUGCUGGCGGGAAAAAGUAUACUUUUGAUUCUAGAAUAAGACUGUAUUUAGUUACCAGCUGUGCGGUCGUGUUAGACGCAAGUCUUUCUUUUUCU
This 817-nucleotide transfer RNA is filed under the name uncultured marine bacterium. Its description in RNAcentral is "16S-23S ribosomal RNA intergenic spacer". The stretch from base 282 to 354 matches the Rfam family "tRNA". The record is from RNAcentral.